This is a non-coding RNA of Chelonoidis abingdonii (Abingdon island giant tortoise), 99 nucleotides long. Lineage: Eukaryota; Metazoa; Chordata; Testudines; Testudinidae. The record is from RefSeq and is a predicted model, not a curated record.
CCUGAUCACACUUCCUAGGAUCGCAUUUGUCUUUUUUCACAGCCGCAUCUCAUUGGUGGCUCAUAGUCAUCUUGCGAUUGACCCACACAUCCAGGUCUC